This is an RNA transcript of Sapajus apella (tufted capuchin), 3771 nucleotides long. It is a transcript of the gene named valyl-tRNA synthetase 2, mitochondrial, with no coding region annotated. The record is from RefSeq and is a predicted model, not a curated record. Lineage: Eukaryota; Metazoa; Chordata; Mammalia; Primates; Cebidae. The transcript has 28 exons.
GCACGCCGGGGCGUCCUCUGGGAAGUGGGAAGCGCUGCGGGGCCUGGGUCAACGCGUUGGGAUAGGCGGGAAGGCCAGGCGGCGCCGGGCCGUGGGCGCUGCAGGAGGCCCCUGGGCGGGCGGAGAUCGCAGCGGCCCUGCUAGGACUCCUUGCCUGCUCCUGGGAGCGCUGAUGCCCAUCAUCUCCCUGAAUUUCUGUGCCCUCUCUUCUCUUGUGUCAGUGGUUACGGCCAAGUUCAGACACCCCGGCCCUGCUCCGGAAGAGCCCUGGUCUCCGUGCCCCCACGGCACUGUCUGUAGACACUGCGCCACUCUAGCCCUCCAGGAGGAAACGUGGUGUGGGAGGGAUUAACAGACCUGUGCUAAUCAGAGCCGGGAAAGAUGGAACGAGGAGAGUGAGCUUCCUCCACCCACACCCGUAUCCUAAUGUGCUGUCUCUCUAUCCAGAACAGAUCUCGGCCCCUUUCCAAACACUCCUGAUGCCUCAUUUGCCUCUAUCCUCUUUUCGACCACCUUUUCUGGGGCUGAAGCCCUCACGGGGCCUCUCCAGGUUCCAUCCCGUUUCUACACAGUCGGAACCCCAUGGAUCUCCCAUCUCCCGGAGGAACCGUGAAGCCAAACAGAAGCGCCUGCGAGAGAAGCAGGCGACUCUGGAGGCUGGGAUAGCAGGGGAGAGCAAGUCGCCUGCAGAGUCCAUUAAGGCCUGGAGUCCUAAGGAGGUACUAUUGUAUGAAAUCCCUACAAAACCCGGUGAAAAGAAAGAUGUCUCGGGGCCCCUGCCUCCUGCAUACAGCCCCCGAUAUGUUGAGGCUGCCUGGUACCCGUGGUGGGUACGAGAGGGCUUCUUCAAACCAGAAUAUCAGGCCCAGCUGCCCCAAGCUACAGGGGAGACCUUUUCCAUGUGUAUCCCACCUCCCAAUGUCACGGGCUCCCUGCACAUCGGCCACGCACUCACGGUGGCCAUACAGGAUGCCCUCGUGCGCUGGCAUCGAAUGCGUGGGGAUCAAGUGCUGUGGGUCCCUGGUUCCGAUCACGCGGGAAUCGCUACACAAGCUGUAGUGGAAAAACAACUGUGGAAGGAACAGGGAGUGAGGAGACAUGAACUGAGCCGGGAGGACUUCCUUAGGGAGGUGUGGCAGUGGAAGGAGGCGAAAGGUGGAGAGAUCUGUGAGCAGCUGCGAGCUCUGGGUGCCUCCCUGGACUGGGAUCGAGAGUGUUUUACCAUGGAUGCUGGCUCCUCAGCGGCUGUGACUGAAGCUUUUGUGCGACUCUACAAGGCGGGGUUGCUGUACCGGAACCGUCAGCUUGUCAACUGGUCAUGUGCUUUAAGAUCAGCCAUCUCGGACAUUGAGGUGGAGAACCGGCCGCUGCCUGGCCACGCAGAGCUUCGACUGCCUGGCUGCCCCACCCCUGUGUCUUUUGGCCUCCUGUUUUCUGUUGCCUUCCCCGUGGAUGGAGAGCCUGAUGCAGAGGUUGUGGUAGGAACCACGAGACCAGAGACACUGCCUGGGGACGUGGCUGUGGCUGUUCACCCAGAUGACUCCCGUUACACGCAUCUACAUGGGCGACAGCUUCGUCACCCCUUGAUGGGGAAGCCUCUCCCCCUCAUCACAGAUUAUACUGUUCAGCCACAUGUGGGCACAGGGGCCGUGAAGGUGACUCCAGCUCACAGUCCUGCUGAUGCUGAGAUGGGGGCCCGACAUGGCUUGAGCCCCCUGAACGUCAUUGCAGAGGAUGGGACCAUGACCUCCCUCUGCGGGGACUGGCUGCAGGGUCUUCACCGGUUUGUGGCCCGGGAAAAGAUAAUGUCUGUGCUGAGUGAACGGGGCCUGUUCCGGGGCCUCCAGAACCACCCCAUGGUACUGCCCAUCUGCAGUCGUUCUGGGGAUGUGAUAGAAUACCUGCUGAAGAGCCAGUGGUUUGUCCGCUGCCAGGAAAUGGGGGCCCGAGCUGCUCAGGCUGUGGAGUCGGGGGCCCUGGAGCUCAGUCCUUCCUUCCACCAGAAGAGCUGGCAGCACUGGUUUGCCCACAUUGGGGACUGGUGUGUCUCCCGGCAGCUGUGGUGGGGCCAUCAGAUUCCAGCCUACCUGGUUGUAGAGGACGGCGCACAGGGUGAAGAAGACCGUUGGGUGGUUGGACGGUCAGAGGCUGAGGCCAGAGAGGCAGCAGCAGAACUGACAGGGAGGCCAGGGGCAGAGCUGGCCCUGAAGAGGGACCCUGAUGUCCUGGACACAUGGUUCUCUUCUGCCCUGUUCCCCUUUUCUGCCCUGGGCUGGCCCCAAGAGACCUCAGACCUUGCUCAUUUCUACCCGCUGUCACUUUUGGAAACGGGCAGUGACCUCCUGCUGUUCUGGGUGGGCCGCAUGGUCAUGUUGGGGACCCAGCUCACUGGGCAGCUGCCUUUCAGCAAGGUGCUUCUUCAUCCCAUGGUUCGGGACAGGCAGGGCCGGAAAAUGAGCAAGUCCCUGGGGAAUGUGCUGGACCCAAGAGACAUCAUCAGCGGAGUGGAGAUGCAGGUGCUGCAGGAAAAGCUGAGAAGUGGAAAUUUGGACCCUGCAGAGCUGGCCAUUGCGGCUGCGGCACAGAAAAAGGACUUUCCUCAUGGGAUCCCUGAGUGUGGGACAGAUGCCCUGAGAUUCACACUCUGCUCCCACGGAGUUCAGGGGGGCGACUUACGCCUGUCUGUCUCUGAGGUCCAGAGCUGCCGACAUUUCUGCAACAAGAUCUGGAAUGCCCUGCGCUUCAUCCUCAAUGCCUUAGGGGAGAAAUUUGUGCCUCAACCUGCUGAGGAGCUGUCUCCCUCCUCCCCCAUGGACGCCUGGAUCCUGAGCCGCCUUGCCCUGGCCGCCUGGGAGUGUGAGCGGGGCUUCCUCAACCGAGAGCUCUCACUUGUCACUCACGCCCUGCACCACUUCUGGCUCCAUAACCUCUGUGACGUCUACCUAGAGGCUGUGAAGCCUGUGCUGCGGCACUCGCCCCGCCCCCUGGGGCCCCCUCAGGUCCUGUUCUCCUGCGCUGACCUUGGCCUCCGCCUCCUGGCCCCAUUGAUGCCCUUCCUGGUUGAAGAGCUCUGGCAGAGGCUGCCCCCCAGGCCUGGUUGCCCCCCUGCCCCCAGCGUCUCGGUUGCCCCCUACCCCAGCGCCUGCAGCUUGGAGCACUGGCGCCAGCUGGAGCUGGAGCAACACUUCUCCCGGGUCCAGGAGGCAGUGCAGGUGCUGAGGGCUCUCCGAGCCACGUACCAGCUCACCAAAGCCCGGCCCCGAGGGCCUGGUAGACCCCCAGAUCCAGCUAUCUCUGUUAGCUGCCCGAAGGCACAAGUUGCAGAAGCAGCUUGAUGGCCUCAUAGCCAGAACCCCAUCAGAAGGGGAGGCAGAGACUCAGAGGCAACAAAAGCUUUCUUCUCUCCAGCUGGAAUUGUCAAAAUUGGACAAGGCGGUUUCUCACCUCCGGCAGCUGAUGGAUAAGCCUCCAACCCCAGGGAGCCUGGAGCUCUAACUCAUCAUCCCCAUCAGUUUUCCUCCCCCUCAGACCUGUCUUUGAGGACAAACAUUUGUCAGCUGUCAGGAUGCAGUGGGAUGUCAGAGACUAUGUGGCCCAUCGCCUUCAUUUCAUAAAUGAGGAAACAGACUGGCUUGGUCGUUGCAGUGACCGUGGUGUCCUUGAGAUGCUCACGUUACUGUCUGGCCUGCCUCCCACCUGGAAGUUUGGGAAUGAGGAGAUUCAGAUAAACUUUUUAAAAUUCCAAACAUGUCUGCUUAUGGCUCUUUGGUC